RNAcentral lists this ribosomal RNA (446 nucleotides) under uncultured bacterium. Its description in RNAcentral is "bacterial SSU rRNA". It matches the Rfam family "Bacterial small subunit ribosomal RNA", at positions 355 to 825 of the family's 1533-position model. The record is from RNAcentral.
UCGGGAAUUUUGUGCAAUGGGCGAAAGCCUGACACAGCAACGCCGCGUGAAGGAUGAAGUCCCUCGGGAUGUAAACUUCGUAAGAAUAGGAAGAAUAAAUGACGGUACUAUUUGUAAGGUCCGGCUAACUACGUGCCAGCAGCCGCGGUAAUACGUAGGGACCAAGCGUUGUUCGGAUUUACUGGGCGUAAAGGGCGCGUAGGCGGCAAUUCAAGUCAUCUGUGAAAUCUCCGGGCUUAACUCGGAACGGUCAGAUGAUACUGCUUUGCUAGAGUGCAGAAGGGGCAAUCGGAAUUCUUGGUGUAGCGGUGAAAUGCGUAGAUAUCAAGAGGAACACCUGAGGUGAAGACGGUUGCUGGGCUGACACUGACGCUGAGGCGCGAAAGCUAGGGGAGCGAACGGGAUUAGAUACCCAAGUAGUCCCUGAGCGGGCUGGCAAGGCGCAU